Polypterus senegalus (gray bichir) is the source of this 591-nucleotide long non-coding RNA. RefSeq lists it as uncharacterized. The record is from RefSeq and is a predicted model, not a curated record. The transcript is spliced from 3 exons. NCBI's taxonomy places the organism in Eukaryota, Metazoa, Chordata, Cladistia, Polypteriformes, Polypteridae.
AGGAGGAGGAGGAGGAGGAGGUUGAAGAGGCCAUGCACGGACCCAUAUUUCUGAGGAUAUUAGAGCAACUUUGGUGGACCAUGUCAUCAACCAUGGCCUGACUAUGAGGAAAGCUGGGCAGAGAGUCCACCCACAUCUAAGCCGCUUCACAGUGGCAUCUGUAAUAAGAACAUUCCGACUAGAAAACAGAAUGACUCGAAGACCUUCUGGGGGAGGACGCCAACGCCUGUUCACACAACAGCAGGAACUUGCCGUUGUGGACCUAGUGAGGGCAGACAAUGCCAUCCGUCUCCACCAGCUACGAAAAAAAAUACUUGCAGACAGGCAAGUGUUCAACAACAUAAACCAUGUGAGCAUCACCACCAUCAGACGCAUCUUGGGAAAACACAGCAUCACCAUGAAGCAGCUCUACAGAGUCCCAUUUGAGAGGAACAGUGACAGGGUCAAAGGACUUUGAGCUGAAUAUGUACGGAGAAUCUUGGCCAUGGAUGGAGCUGCACAGCCUCAUGAACUCAUUUUCCUUGAUGAAGCUGGAUUCGACCUGAGCAAAACAAGACGACGGGGUUGUAAUAUAAUUGGCCAAAGGGCAAU